UGUAAUCAAGGCAAGAGGUUAGAAUAGCACCCGGCCCACUGUAAGAGCUCAGUAAACAUUAGUUCAUUAGUAACCAGAAAUGUGAUGCAAGCCUACCAGUGUCUGGAGAAAGUAAUGUGGAGGAGGAGCGGGAGGCAGAGGCCACAGAAUGGAAGAGCGAGCAGAUGCGAGGAUCCAGGGGGGAUGGUUCCCAGGGCUCCACCUGUGUUAUCCAGAAAACAUCCACUAAUCAACACCAUACCAUUCUGUGAGCCAGAACAGCAUGUACCUGCACUCAGGUGGUACAGGGAGAGUUGUUCCAGCUGCAUAUUUUUCACUUGGAUCUGGUGACAUCAGUAUGAGUGUUGAGUCAGCUCAUAUGCCAUAAGCUCUUCUCUCCAAGACGGCGUGGGAGACAUCACCUCGUGGGUGGCAAAGCAGUUCUUGAAAGCCAGACGUGCGGAAAAGCACACGCAUCCCUUCUUGAGAAGCACUGGUGGACCAUUAUUACACAUUUACCUCUUAUUCCACAGAGAGCAUAUUCCUGGAUCCCCCCACAACUUCCAGGGCUGCCUGCUGCUGACCCUCAGUACAACCCCAAGAGGCCUCCUCUCACUUGGCCUCUUGCCCUUGGCUCUCCAGGGCUGGGACCUGUGUGAUUCCUGGCUCUACCGCGGUGAAUCUCUUUGAAAACUGCAGGUGCAGAGCUGUUCUCUGCAGUGAUUCUGAUGUCCCUGUGCUGGCAGUCUGGACGGGCAAGUACCAAGCUCUCUGGCUUCUUCCCUAGCAGGUAACAACCUGCUUAGAACUUCCUUCACAAUGUGGUUUAUGUAUACAAUGGAAUAUUCCUCAGCCAUUAGAAGCGAAAAAUACCCACCAUUUGCUUCGACGUGGAUGGAACUGGAGGGUAUUAUGCUGAGUGAAAUGAGUCAAUUGG
Canis lupus familiaris (dog) is the source of this 916-nucleotide long non-coding RNA. RefSeq lists it as uncharacterized. The record is from RefSeq and is a predicted model, not a curated record. Lineage: Eukaryota; Metazoa; Chordata; Mammalia; Carnivora; Canidae. The transcript is spliced from 3 exons.